CACGGAGUUAGCCGAUCCUUAUUCUCACGGUACAUUCAGCCCGGUAUACAUACCGGGGUUAUUCCCGUGCAAAAGCAGUUUACAACCCGUGGGGCCGUCUUCCUGCACGCGGCAUGGCUGGUUCAGGGUUCCCCCCAUUGACCAAUAUUCCUUACUGCUGCCUCCCGUAGGAGUCUGGUCCGUGUCUCAGUACCAGUGUGGGGGUUUCUCCUCUCAGAGCCCCUAGACAUCGUCGCCUUGGUGGGCCGUUACCCCGCCAACCAGCUAAUGUCACGCGAGCCCAUCCGUCCCCUAUGAAUAUUUAAAUGAAGGCCCAUGCGGACCUGCAUUCUCAUGCGGUAUUAAUCCGGAUUUCUCCGGGCUAUCCCCCGUGGGACGGGCAGGUUGCUCACGCGUUACGCACCCGUGCGCCACUCUCACGGGGACCGAAGCCCCCGAUCCCGUUCGACUUGCAUGUAUUAGGCCUGCCGCUAGCGUUCAUCCUGAGCCAGGAUCAAACCUC
Molecule: ribosomal RNA, 502 nt
Filed under: uncultured Olivibacter sp.
Lineage: Bacteria; Pseudomonadati; Bacteroidota; Sphingobacteriia; Sphingobacteriales; Sphingobacteriaceae
Description: partial 16S ribosomal RNA
Source: RNAcentral